RNAcentral lists this ribosomal RNA (468 nucleotides) under uncultured bacterium. RNAcentral describes it as "partial 16S ribosomal RNA". It matches the Rfam family "Bacterial small subunit ribosomal RNA", at positions 28 to 507 of the family's 1533-position model. The record is from RNAcentral.
GACGAACGCUGGCGGCGUGCUUAACACAUGCAAGUCGAACGGAAAGGCCCUGCUUUUGUGGGGUGCUCGAGUGGCGAACGGGUGAGUAACACGUGAGUAACCUGCCCUUGACUUUGGGAUAACUUCAGGAAACUGGGGCUAAUACCGGAUAGGAGCUCCUGCUGCAUGGUGGGGGUUGGAAAGUUUCGGCGGUUGGGGAUGGACUCGCGGCUUAUCAGCUUGUUGGUGGGGUAAUGGCUUACCAAGGCUUUGACGGGUAGCCGGCCUGAGAGGGUGACCGGCAACAUUGGGAAGGGGAUAGGGACCAGACUACUACAGGAGGCAGCAGUGAGGAAUAUUGCAGAAUGGGCGGAAGACUGAUGCAGCAACGCCGCGUGCGGGAUGACGGCCUUCGGGUUGUAAACCGCGUUCGCCUGUGACGAAGCGUGAGUGACGGUAAUGGGUAAAGAAGCACCGGCUAACUACGUG